Poecilia latipinna (sailfin molly) is the source of this 738-nucleotide long non-coding RNA. RefSeq lists it as uncharacterized. The transcript is spliced from 3 exons. Lineage: Eukaryota; Metazoa; Chordata; Actinopteri; Cyprinodontiformes; Poeciliidae. The record is from RefSeq and is a predicted model, not a curated record.
GAGCUCAGCUAUUCUGAAAACAUUAGCUAGUUGUAGCUCUACAGCACAAGAAACAAAACCUUCCAUUUGAAACAGGAUGGGGUGGAUGAAUGGUGUGAGGUGAGCGGCCGACAUCUCUGUGUGUGGGAGCCGGGAGCAGAAGAGAAAUGGAGCAGAGCGGCUAAUGGUUUUCUUUUUUAUCCGCUCGCCGUCGGCAGCUGUUGCUAGGACACAGCCGUGCUGCCGCAGAGCCUGCGAGUCUCGGUAAAUAACACGGUGCGGUCGGCGUCCACAGCCGGCCGCGCGCUGUGCUGUGUCAUGUCUCUCUGUCGGCGCUGGUGUGGAGGGUACGGAGAGGAGGGGGGUGUGAACUGUCACAUUCACACUCUGCCCACUCAACCAGAGAACACCACCGUCAUGGAGACGGAGGGAGGGGUGCGGACCCUCUGCGGGCGCUGGGUGUUGGGAUUCAGAGCCACUGGUGUCAGAGCUGCUGGCUUGGAUUAUUGGACCUUCAGUUUGCUGAUGACAGAAACCAUGCUGAGAUUUUCUCUGUCUGUUCGGCUUUGUUUUUUUUGUUGUUGUUGUUUUUUUAGCAGACUGAAGCUCCACAGGCUCCAGUCGCUCAUUUUCUUAUUCAUGUAUCAACACAGAAGAAGAGAGGUUACAACUGUUCAUAAAACAAAGCCUUCCUAAUCGGUUUAGAGACCCUUAAUUUGCUCUAAUUAACUUCUCCUAAUAAACAUUAAAGAAGCCCAA